Cryptomeria japonica (Japanese cedar) is the source of this 3171-nucleotide long non-coding RNA. RefSeq lists it as uncharacterized. Lineage: Eukaryota; Viridiplantae; Streptophyta; Pinopsida; Cupressales; Cupressaceae. The record is from RefSeq and is a predicted model, not a curated record. The transcript is spliced from 4 exons.
UUUCCAUAAAACCUUAUUUGGACUGUUGGUAGUGAAAAAAUUCCUCUAUUUUUUAAUACUGCUCUUUUAGGAUUAAAGAAAUUUUGCCAUUAGCUGGGCUGGGAUUGUUAUGUUGUAUCCAUGACUCUGCAUAUUCUCUGAUUUGACUGUCAAAACUCUACUAUUAUUUAUAUCUUAUUCAUUGUUUUUCCUUCGAUCAUUAAAGGCAAAUCAUGGACUGUAUUGUCUUUUUAAUCCCUUUGAUCUCUAUAUUUAGAUAUAUAGAUUGGUAAAUAUACCUUCAAGUGUUAUUAUCAUCUCAUAUUGAUCAUCAUAACUUUGUGACUGGUAUCUUUGUCUCUGUCUUUAACUUCAUGCUCAUGAUCAUUAGGAGGUCUGAGACUGUUCACUUUUCUUUACUCAUUGACUGUGCCUUUAACUAUAAUCCUGCUUUUGGGUUGUGAGGAAUGGAUCUUCAUAUGUACUUACAUAUCCUUUCACCCAUGCCAACACUGUCACUGAGGGUUUUUGAGGAGUGUUUUUUCUUAUCACAGUCUUCUUCUAGUAUCUUUGUCAUGCAUUGACUAAUAUUCUUCUAAGGUUGCAUCUUUUUGAUCUAUGCUAUGCAUUAGUUCCUUUUGACUGCUCUCUGUCUCUUUAACAAUGUGUUGAUCAUAAUGGUGACCGUGAAUAUUGGACUGAGACUUCUUGCUUAGGGCUCCUUGAUUAUUAGAACAUGUAACUGUCCUUACAUUAAUGAGUGCUUUCUAAGAUUGCAAGAAUGUAACUGUUCUUGGUCAUUAUGCUUUGUGAAUGAUAUUUUAACAGUGUGACUACCUAUUAUUGGCAUGAGCUGGUGAUCUUUGUCCUUAGGCUGUGUGAGCUUGUAGUGAUCUUGACAGUGAAGGCUGCUAUAAUUUUUAUCAUUCACUGUCUUAUCUUUGAAUGUUUGCUCAAACCAUACUAUUUAGUUUCUGAGCCCUUGACAUCUUUGUCAUUGUUUAUAUUUUGAGUAUCACUUUAUGAGCAUUUGAGUGGUGCUACAGUACUACAAUCUAUAUGCUUCUUGUAUCAUCUUUGGGCUAUUUUCUGUGAAAUAUUCAUGAACAUCUUUGACAGAGACAAACAAACCUUGCCUUGAUCUGAUCUCCUUGACUAUUAUAAGUUCAUUUGUACUGGCUGCUAAAACUGUCUAUGAAUCCUCUUGUCACUGCUGUGGAGCAAAUUUUGGCUUUCUUGAAAAGCUAUGCCAUUAUUGCUCUUUCCAUGCCUUUGAUAAUGAUGAUAUCUGUCCCAGAAGUUCUCAGCAUACCAUUGUAGGUGUGACUGCAUCUAACUUGUGUGUGACCAUUUUUUGCUAGAACUAUACUCUUUCCCCUUUGAACUUGUAGCUUGAUCACCAUUUCAACUCUGUCCAUUAGCCUUGAUAGUGAUAACUGUCUUUUGUAGCAUCAUGAACCUUUUAGUUGAUCUUUUUCAAUCUUCAAAACACUUAAUGACUGUAUUAAUUAACCUUUUGACUGAACAUGAAUUGGCAUCCUAGGGUUCAUCAAUGUCUUUGGAAGGCUUGGGUUUGCUUAUGAAUCCACUGCUCUUAUUCUUUAUGAAUUGAAACAUCUCAUUAGGACUGUUGCUAUGUACUUAGACCUCUUCUCUUCUCUAUGCUUUUAAUUGCUUCUUGGACCACUUCAGGGUUAUUGUAGCAGACCUCAUAACCUCUUUAGGUUGAAUAAUAUAUGGGCUUUCAAAUAUAGAUCUAAUGAUAAUGAUUGGUCAUGUCUUUGCCCAUGAUGUUGGCUUAUUACUGCCCUUUAAAGUUGAUAGCUGCAAACUCCCUGUCAUCACUUCUUUGAUCUUUGGCUCUCAUUAUGACAGUAUCUACAACUGCCUGUAUUACUGUCAUAAUGAUUUUUUGAUCAACUUUUGUUAUUCCUCAUUUGAUCUACUACCAAGGUCUGAGACCAUAAAUCAUUACCGUCUUUUUGAUAUAAUUUUUAAGAGGCCUGCUAUCACUGCAAAUGACUCUUUUGGGACUGUUAAAGCAUUCAUACAAUAACCCUUUAUGACUAUUUGCUGCAAGUUGAGUUCAUUCAUCAAUGGAGCUACAUUGUCUAAAUCAAUAGUAGUUUUGAGAUAACAAUCCUCCUCAAAGGGGUUGCUUCUAAUAAUACAGAGCUACAAUAUAUUAUCAAUUGAAUGAACUCAAGAAAAGUAGAGUUCUAAGGAAAAACCCAUACUAUGCAUGAAGAUUUCUUUUAUUAAAAUCUCAUAUGCUAUGAUGUUGCUUUAAACGCAAGAUAAAACACCCUUUAAAUGCAUACCAAUGGCCUUUGCAUGAGAAAUAAGAGCUUGGCCAGUGCUUGACCCUUUGCCAUCAUAUGGUCAAGGUAGGGAACUGAGUGGAGGACAAUAUAGCAACCUUAUAACUGCAUUCAAUGUGACAUUUUUUUUAACAAUAGGUGUAAAUUUUCUUUCUAUGGUGUAAUCUUAAACAACUAGAUUAUGAAAAUCUAGUAUUUUAUUGGCAACACUAAAGUUGGACAAUUUUUUUUUGGAACCAUGCGCGCAGGAUCCAACGGGUAUUCUCGCAAUCUUGUUUAUCACGGCCUUUCCUCGAGUGUGAACUUUCACCAAUAAUAGCCACUCAUCAAGGACGCGUUGUUGGUCUCUCGAAUGGUCUCGAAAAUCUAUAUUGGAGUAAAAGAUUUCAAGUUGCAGUCUGUAGGGCCACGAGGUUGCUUGCAGUAGUUUUUGGAGAUGCUCGUUGAGCAUUGGAGCUAUGUAGACGUGUUGUAGAGAUUUCAAAAUUCAAAGUCCAACAGUUGGAUGCUCCUCAAUAUUCUAUCCCGUUGCAGAUUAUCUCCCCCUUUGUGGAUGUUGGGGAUCCUCCUCUUGUGAGCUCGAGCUCCUGGUUUUUGGCUUCUUGACUGUUGGGUUGAUUGGGUCUCUGUUUUGGGUUGCAUCUACAUGGUUGAUGCUUUUUGUUCUCAAUUGUUACUUGUAUCAGGGUUGGUAAUGAUCUUCAUGUCUUCGGCUUCUAUAUGUAUUGGGGGACUUUUUGUAUCUUGACUCGUGGGGCCUCUCAUAUGUAAUGGGUUUUUUGGCAUUUUGGGUAGCGCUAGGCUUUUGUUUUUAUGGGCUGCAAUCGAAGGUUUUCUUCUGUAUUCUUUCCUGUCGGUAUGCCCUUUUGAA